This 432-nucleotide ribosomal RNA is filed under the name uncultured bacterium. RNAcentral's name for it is "partial 16S ribosomal RNA". It matches the Rfam family "Bacterial small subunit ribosomal RNA", at positions 338 to 795 of the family's 1533-position model. The record is from RNAcentral.
CCUACGGGGGGCUGCAGUGGGGAAUAUUGGACAAUGGGCGCAAGCCUGAUCCAGCCAUACCGCGUGGGUGAAGAAGGCCUUCGGGUUGUAAAGCCCUUUUUGAAGACUUACGGUACCCAAAGAAUAAGCACCGGCUAACUUCGUGCCAGCAGCCGCGGUAAUACGAAGGGUGCAAGCGUUACUCGGAAUUACUGGGCGUAAAGCGUGCGUAGGUGGUGGUUUAAGUCUGCUGUGAAAGCCCUGGGCUCAACCUGGGAAUUGCAGUGGAUACUGGAUCACUAGAGUGUGGUAGAGGGAUGCGGAAUUUCUGGUGUAGCAGUGAAAUGCGUAGAGAUCAGAAGGAACAUCCGUGGCGAAGGCGGCAUCCUGGGCCAAACUGACACUGAGGCACGAAAGCGUGGGGAGCAAACAGGAUUAGAUACCCUUGUAGUC